CCUACGGGUGGCAGCAGUGGGGAAUAUUGCACAAUGGGGGAAACGCUGAUGCAGCAACGCCGCGUGAGUGAAGGAGUAUUCCGGUAUGUAAAGCUUUAUCAGUAGGGAAGACGAAAGACGGUACCUGACUAAGAAGCCCCGGCUAACUACGUGCCAGGCGCCGCGGUCAUACGUAGGGGGCAAGCGGUAUACGGAUUUACUGGGUGUAAAGGGAGGGUAGACGGCUGUGCAAGUCUGAAGUUAAAUGCCGUGGCUGAACCGCGGAACUGCUUUUGAAACUGGAUGGCUUGAGUACUGGAGAGGCAGGCGGAAUUCGUAGUGUAGCGGUGAAAUGCGUAGAUAUUAGGAGGAACACCAGUGGCGAGGGCAGCCUGCUGGACAGAAACUGACGUUGAGGCUCGAAAGCGUGGGGAGCAAACAGGAUUAGAUACCCCUGUAGUC
This 441-nucleotide ribosomal RNA is filed under the name uncultured bacterium. RNAcentral describes it as "partial 16S ribosomal RNA". It matches the Rfam family "Bacterial small subunit ribosomal RNA", at positions 338 to 795 of the family's 1533-position model. The record is from RNAcentral.